GAGUUUGAUCCUGGCUCAGGAUGAACGCUGGCGGCGUGCCUAAUACAUGCAAGUCGAACGAACAGAUAAGGAGCUUGCUCCUUUGACGUUAGCGGCGGACGGGUGAGUAACACGUGGGUAACCUACCUAUAAGACUGGAAUAACUCCGGGAAACCGGGGCUAAUGCCGGAUAACAUGUUGAACCGCAUGGUUCUACAGUGAAAGACGGUCUUGCUGUCACUUAUAGAUGGACCCG
Molecule: ribosomal RNA, 235 nt
Filed under: uncultured microorganism
Description: partial 16S ribosomal RNA
Rfam family: Bacterial small subunit ribosomal RNA
Source: RNAcentral